GUUUUGCUGUCCUGUCUAUCUGAAAAAGAGCUUGUUUGACUGAUUUACUUAGCAACUGCUGUAAAGAGGAAAGAUCACCAGUAAAUUCCAUGGACCUGGUAUUCACAACGCCCUAUCAACUUUAUGCGUUACUGACCUCCACAGGCAUUUUAGGGGAAGGCACAGCAGGGAAAGAGUUGAAGUGGGUACUGGACAGCCAGAGGUUCACUGAUGCAGAAGUGGAGCCCUGA
RNAcentral lists this long non-coding RNA (230 nucleotides) under Phasianus colchicus (ring-necked pheasant). Its description in RNAcentral is "lncRNA (ENSPCLG00000012499.1)". Lineage: Eukaryota; Metazoa; Chordata; Aves; Galliformes; Phasianidae. The record is from RNAcentral.